UUUUCUCUAAUUUUUUUCUUACUUUUUCUCUAAUUUUUUCUCCUCUUAUUUUUGUUGCCGUCUGCUUCCUCCAUUUUCUCUGCUCCCACUACCUCCAUUUUCUUUGCACCCACUGCCCUCUUUUUAUAGAGCACAGCUUCUUCGAAUUAUAAGCGUCUACAGACUUUCAAUUCCCACCGUCUUCUAUUUUGAUCAGGACUUUAAAACUUUAUCCGCAUCCU
This 221-nucleotide long non-coding RNA is filed under the name Elaeis guineensis (African oil palm). RNAcentral describes it as "long non-coding RNA (EGUI_LNC061560)". Lineage: Eukaryota; Viridiplantae; Streptophyta; Magnoliopsida; Arecales; Arecaceae. The record is from RNAcentral.